GCUUAGUUGCGUUAAGAAUUUUAGUUAUAGUAUGGUAAUAUCAGUGAUAUUUAUCAGAAUAAGGUUGUUUAUGGAAGCGCUAUGUGAGUUUUGUGAGAUUGUUAGAGCUGUGGUUUACUGCAAGCCAGAUUCUGCUCGAUUAUGUAUGCGUUGCGAUGCGAUUGUACACUCCGCGAAUGCGCUUGCUCGCAGACAUCCGAGAUCGUUAUUGUGUGAUAGGUGUAAUUUCGAUUCAGCGAUUGUUCGCUGUGUUGAUUAUAAAAUGUCUCUGUGUCAACUUUGUGAUUGGAAUUCUACAGAUGAGUGUUUUGCGUUGGGGCAUAACCAUGUGCUACUUACUUUCUACACUGGUUGUCCCUCUUUGGCAGAGUUGUCAAAGAUUUGGCCGCAUUUUGUCUAUGGAAAUUCAUCGGCUGAGAGCAAUGUUGCUAGCUCUAAGCCUUUGGAUUGGCCGCCUGAAAAGAACCACGGUUGCUUUCAUUUGGAGAAAGCGAAAAACAAGAUGGACGGAGAAGAGCCGUCUGUCAAAGAUGAACAACCUUGGAUUGAGACACCACCUAUAGUGUCGUCAAAUUCGAACGGCACAAAAUACUGCAGAGAUCAAGCGUUUUUGUUUGAUCUAGACUCAAAUCAACAGAAGCUUCAAGGAUGCCCUGAUGUCAAGGAACUAGUUUUUCAUGAGGGGACUAGUCUCUGUGAAGGUUUCAAUGUGGAUGAUGUUCAAUUAGAUUUUGAAAGCGCUGAUGAAAUAUUUGGCCGCUCUCAAAGUGCCGCAAAAUACAACCAUGAAGAUGGAGGAAUGAAGUGUCUAUUAAUGGAUAAAAACAUUCAAGUCACAAAAUGUACCAGUCUUACCGAGAUUGCAGCAGAGGCUUUAUCACCACUGCAACAAGAUUGUGUGGCUGGCGGAUCAACAAGUGUGAUGCAGGGCAUCAACAAUAAUGCAAACUCUGCACUUAUGACUCCUAGCAGCAACAGUAGCAUUACUAUGGGAUUUCCUCAGAGUCAAAUUCAUUCAGGAACUUCAAUUGAAUUACCUAAUCUUAAUGGUGAAAACAAUGUUACUGAACUUCUAAAUUGUGAGUUACCUCCGGUGUUUCAUCCCGGCGAAUCCCCUUGGGAACCAAAUUUGGAGGGUACGUGUGCAGAAGCAAGGGAACAAGCAAAAAUGAGAUACCAAGAGAAAAAGAAAACUCGAACGUUUGGUAAGCAAAUAAGAUAUGCCUCUCGCAAAGCAAGGGCUGAUACAAGAAAACGUGUGAAAGGUCGAUUCGUUAAAGCAGACCGGAGGGAGUAACAUGCAUGGGAGAUAGAGGAGCAGGAUGAAUGAACAGAUUGAUAUUGCAUCACAGUUAGUAUCAUUUCCGACAAUAAAAUGAAAGAAGAGACAGGAGUCAACGGCGAACCAUCCUGAACUUUAACAGGUUAGAAUGUGUGACUCUCUGAGUUUUUGUUUUUCUAAUAAACACAGGGUAUUAAGGAAGAAAAGGGGAACUGAUGUUUGGCAUCAAGAUAUUAUCCAAGAACAGCAAUCCUUACUUUGGAUUAGCGAGCAGUGUCAGACGCGGAUGGAGAUACUGUUGUUCUAAACCAGUUUACACCUGCAGCAACUGUAUGCAUGUUCCACAACCUUUAAACUUCCUCAAUCAUUUCAUCUAUUGGACUGCAUCAUUUUAGGCUUAGGAGUGUUAACUGCAUAUUUUUGAUCGGCCAAACAUUGAUUUAUUUAAAUUUUGGGUACCCAAUUGUAAUGGUUUUCAUAUUUAGAAUAUUUGCUAUUUAUUUUGGAAUAUUUGCUUAUUUUA
Lathyrus oleraceus (garden pea) is the source of this 1805-nucleotide RNA transcript. It is a transcript of the gene named putative zinc finger protein CONSTANS-LIKE 11, with no coding region annotated. The record is from RefSeq and is a predicted model, not a curated record. The transcript has 6 exons. NCBI's taxonomy places the organism in Eukaryota, Viridiplantae, Streptophyta, Magnoliopsida, Fabales, Fabaceae.